Long non-coding RNA from Hippocampus comes (tiger tail seahorse), 482 nucleotides. RefSeq lists it as uncharacterized. The transcript is spliced from 3 exons. Lineage: Eukaryota; Metazoa; Chordata; Actinopteri; Syngnathiformes; Syngnathidae. The record is from RefSeq and is a predicted model, not a curated record.
UCUCUCUCUCUCUCUGGCUCCGUCUCUCUCUCUCUCUCUCUCUCUCUCUAACGCAAGAUCUCUGGUGCAUCAAGAGAGAUGACGGCUUACUAGAAUUCCCUCACGGUUUCUCGAAACGCGUCAGUGUGCAUCACGCGGGACUUAUUUCAUAGCUUGGGCUUUUAUUGACGAGACCAGUUGGCAUAUCGUAACCUUUGUUGAGUCAAGGUACCAAUUUUACAUUUGAAAAAUGUCACGCGUAGCCAGCAAACAAACGUAAAGGUUGAGUUGAGUUUAUUUCUUCUGUAGCGUCAUACACAAAUCAAGGUGCCCGACUCCCACGCGUUUAUGAAAACAACAACAACACAAACAUACAGUGAUGCAGACAUUCCCAAAUGUCUCCAACAAAAGGAGCCCUGCUAUGCCGCAACCGAGCCCGUAACUGAAACGGAGCCAAACAAAGUGGCUGACACGCAAAGAAAGAAGGAAAAAAAGCAAAAACU